GGCAGCGUAGCUCAAUGGAAGAGCGAUCGUUUCAUAAGCGAUAGGUUGCUGGUCCGAUUCCAGCCGCUGCUACAA
RNAcentral lists this transfer RNA (75 nucleotides) under Candidatus Daviesbacteria bacterium RIFCSPHIGHO2_02_FULL_39_41. RNAcentral's name for it is "tRNA-Met". It matches the Rfam family "tRNA". Rfam says of the family: Transfer RNA (tRNA) molecules are approximately 80 nucleotides in length. Lineage: Bacteria; Candidatus Daviesiibacteriota. The record is from RNAcentral. RNAcentral also lists the same sequence under 4 other names.